GACGAACGCUGGCGGCGUGCUUAACACAUGCAAGUCGAGCGGUAAGGCCCUUUCGGGGGUACACGAGCGGCGAACGGGUGAGUAACACGUGGGUGACCUGCCCUUAGCUCUGGGAUAAGCCUGGGAAACUGGGUCUAAUACCGGAUACGACUCCAUGACGCAUGUUGUGGGGUGGAAAGCCUUGUGCGGCUAGGGAUGGGCCCGCGGCCUAUCAGCUUGUUGGUGGGGUGAUGGCCUACCAAGGCGACGACGGGUAGCCGGCCUGAGAGGGCGACCGGCCACACUGGGACUGAGACACGGCCCAGACUCCUACGGGAGGCAGCAGUGGGGAAUCUUGCGCAAUGGGCGAAAGCCUGACGCAGCGACGCCGCGUGGGGAUGACGGCCU
RNAcentral lists this ribosomal RNA (387 nucleotides) under uncultured bacterium. Its description in RNAcentral is "bacterial SSU rRNA". It matches the Rfam family "Bacterial small subunit ribosomal RNA", at positions 28 to 417 of the family's 1533-position model. The record is from RNAcentral.